RNAcentral lists this ribosomal RNA (736 nucleotides) under Burkholderia sp. 3-RHI-6. RNAcentral describes it as "partial 16S ribosomal RNA". It matches the Rfam family "Bacterial small subunit ribosomal RNA", at positions 154 to 885 of the family's 1533-position model. The record is from RNAcentral. Lineage: Bacteria; Pseudomonadati; Pseudomonadota; Betaproteobacteria; Burkholderiales; Burkholderiaceae.
AAAGCNGNAUUAAUACCGNUUNCGCUUUNCNGUGGAAAGGGGGGGAUCUUAAGACCUCCCGCUNCAGGGGCGGGCCAAGGCAAAUUACCUNUUNGNUGGGGUAAAGGCCUACCACGGCCACGAUCUNUAUCUGUUCUUNGAGGACGACCAUCCACACUGGGACUGAGACACGGACCCGACUCCUACUGNAGGCAGAAGUGGGGAAUUUUGGACAAUGGGGGCNACCCUGAUCCAGCAAUGCCACUUGUGUGAAGAAGGCCAACGGCUUGUAAAGCACUUUUGUUCUGAAAGAAAACGCCAUGGUUAAUACCCAUGGCGGAUGACGGUGCCGGAAGAAUAAGCACCGGCUAACUAUAUGNCAGCAGCCGCGGUCAUACGUAUGGUGCAGGCGNUAAUCUNAAUUACUGUUCCUAAAGCGUGCGCAGGCGGUCCGCUAUACCUGAUGUNAAAUCCCNAGGCUCAACCUGGGAACUGCAUUUGCAACUGGUACUCUAUAGUUUGAGUGAGGGNGGNUGAAUUCCACGUGUNGCNGUGAAAUGCGUAUACAUGUGGAGGAAUACCGAUGGCGAAGGCAGACCGCCUGGGCCAAUACUGACACUGAUGCUCGAAAGCGUGGGGAGCNNACAGGAUUAGAUACCCUGNUCGUCGACGCCCUAAACNAUGUCAACUAGAAGUNGGGUCUUGAUUNACUUGGNAACGUAACUAACGCGUGAANUUGACCACCUGGGGAGUACGG